GGAUAUCCCCCACACUGGUACUGAGACACGGACCAGACUCCUACGGGAGGCAGCAGUGAGGAAUAUUGGACAAUGGGAGCAAUCCUGAUCCAGCCAUGCCGCGUGCAGGAAGACAGUUCUAUGGAUUGUAAACUGCUUUUAUACAGGAAGAAAAAACAUAACGUGUUGUGUAUUGACGGUACUGUAUGAAUAAGAAUCGGCUAACUCCGUGCCAGCAGCCGCGGUAAUACGGAGGAUUCGAGCGUUAUCCGGAAUCAUUGGGUUUAAAGGGUUCGUAGGCGGGGCGAUAAGUCAGUGGUGAAAGUUGGUGGCUCAACCAUAAAAUUGCCAUUGAUACUGUUGUUCUUGAGUUAUUGUGAAGUGGUUAGAAUGUGUAGUGUAGCGGUGAAAUGCAUAGAUAUUACACAGAACACCAAUUGCGAAGGCAUAUCACUAACAAUAUACUGACGCUGAUGAACGAAAGCGUAGGUAGCGAACAGGAUUAGAUACCCUGGUAGUCUACGCUGUAAACGAUGGUUACUAGCUGUUCGGAUCAAUUGCGAUCUGAGUGGUUAAGCGAAAGUGAUAAGUAACCCACCUGGGGAGUACGUUUGCAAGAAUGAAACUCAAAGGAAUUGUCGGGGGCCCGCACAAGCGGUGGAGCAUGUGGUUUAAUUCGAUGAUACGCGAGGAACCUUACCAAGGCUUAAAUGCAUUUUGACAGGUCUAGAAAUAGAUUUUUCUUCGGACAAAUUGCAAGGUGCUGCAUGGUUGUCGUCAGCUCGUGCCGUGAGGUGUCAGGUUAAGUCCUAUAACGAGCGCAACCCCUGUGGUUAGUUACCAGCACAUAAUGGUGGGGACUCUAGCCAGACUGCCGGUGCAAACCGAGAGGAAGGUGGGGACGACGUCAAAUCAUCACGGCCCUUACGCCUUGGGCUACACACGUGCUACAAUGGUAUACACAAUGAGCAGCCAUCUGGCAACAGAGCGCAAAUCUAUAAAGUAUAUCACAGUUCGGAUCGGAGUCUGCAACUCGACUCUGUGAAGCUGGAAUCGCUAGUAAUCGCACAUCAGCCAUGGUGCGGUGAAUACGUUCCCGGGCAUUGUACACACCGCCCGUCAAGCCAUG
Molecule: ribosomal RNA, 1108 nt
Filed under: uncultured organism
Description: bacterial SSU rRNA
Rfam family: Bacterial small subunit ribosomal RNA
Source: RNAcentral